GACGAACGCUGGCGGCGUGCCUAACACAUGCAAGUCGAACGGAGACAUUUUUGUAGCAAUAUAGGAAUGUCUUAGUGGCGGACGGGUGAGUAACGCGUGAGGAACCUGCCUUGGAGUGGGGGAUAACACAGGGAAACCUGUGCUAAUACCGCAUAAUACGGAAAGACGGCAUCGUCUAUCCGUCAAAGAUUAAUCGCUCUGAGAUGGCCUCGCGUCUGAUUAGAUAGUUGGCGGGGUAACGGCCCACCAAGUCUGCGAUCAGUAGCCGGACUGAGAGGUUGAACGGCCACAUUGGGACUGAGACACGGCCCAGACUCCUACGGGAGGCAGCAGUGGGGAAUAUUGCGCAAUGGGGGAAACCCUGACGCAGCAACGCCGCGUGAAGGAUGAAGGUUUUCGGAUUGUAAACUUCUUUGACGAGGGACGAAGUAUGACGGUACCUCGAAAACAAGCCACGGCUAACUACGUG
This 469-nucleotide ribosomal RNA is filed under the name uncultured organism. Its description in RNAcentral is "bacterial SSU rRNA". It matches the Rfam family "Bacterial small subunit ribosomal RNA", at positions 28 to 507 of the family's 1533-position model. The record is from RNAcentral.